RNAcentral lists this ribosomal RNA (253 nucleotides) under uncultured bacterium. RNAcentral's name for it is "partial 16S ribosomal RNA". It matches the Rfam family "Bacterial small subunit ribosomal RNA", at positions 524 to 776 of the family's 1533-position model. The record is from RNAcentral.
UACGGAGGAUCCAAGCGUUAUCCGGAUUUAUUGGGUUUAAAGGGUGCGUAGGCGGAAUUGUAAGUCAGUGGUGAAAGCCUGCAGCUUAACUGUAGAAUUGCCAUUGAUACUGCAAAUCUUGAGUACAUUUGAAGUGGGCGGAAUGUGUCAUGUAGCGGUGAAAUGCAUAGAUAUGACACAGAACACCGAUUGCGAAGGCAGCUCACUAAACUGUAACUGACGCUGAGGCACGAAAGCGUGGGGAUCGAACAGG